RNAcentral lists this transfer RNA (72 nucleotides) under Staphylococcus massiliensis. Its description in RNAcentral is "tRNA-Arg". It matches the Rfam family "tRNA". From Rfam's summary of the family: Transfer RNA (tRNA) molecules are approximately 80 nucleotides in length. Their secondary structure includes four short double-helical elements and three loops (D, anti-codon, and T loops). The record is from RNAcentral. RNAcentral also lists the same sequence under 2 other names. Lineage: Bacteria; Bacillati; Bacillota; Bacilli; Caryophanales; Staphylococcaceae.
CCCCUUGUAGUGUAAUGGAUAACACGUGAGAUUCCGGUUCUUAUAAUGAAGGUUCGAUUCCUUUCAAGGGGA